AUGGUCAACAAAUUCAGAGCUCAUGAUAAGAAAUCUGUGAACUCUCUGGCUGCUCACCCAACAAAGCCAUACCUUCUUUCAUCAUCUACUAUUGGUACAAAUAUCAAGGUUUGGGACAGGAGCAAUAAGUGGAAGAUAUUUCAAAAUUUCGACACGAAACCUGAGAUUGCAUAUUACAAUGGUGUGCGCAGUGUCAAGUUGAAUCCAAGGGAUACCAACACUUUUGCUUGUGUUACCCGUUAUGACGGAGUAAAGGUCGGGAACAUCAAACCUUCCAGUCUUGAAACCACACUGACGGGGUCAUUCGUCAUGGCCGAUUAUUUGUUCACUCGUGGUGAUGAGCACUUGAUGGUUACUUUGAAAUUUGACGCACACAACACCGAGACACGAAAAGUUGUUCACACUCUUAGCGUGAGUGGGCACAAAACGACCUGGGUUGCUUGCCACCCAAAGCUUCCAAUACUGGUUACAGUGUUAGAUGACGGGACUGUAUGUUUGUGGGAUGUCAGUACCUACAGGCUUGAGAAAAUGGUUCACAUUACCGACAGCAAGUGUCGUGAUUUGGUAUUUGUCCCAGACACAAAUGACCCACUCAGGCUCGCUAUUGCAUUUGAGACAAUGAUAGCAAUCAUGGAGGUUAAUUUGCCAAUUGCGAAUACAAGCAAUGCAAGUGGACUAAUAACGGGAACUAACUAG
This 696-nucleotide ribosomal RNA is filed under the name Triticum aestivum (bread wheat). RNAcentral describes it as "partial small subunit ribosomal RNA". The record is from RNAcentral. Lineage: Eukaryota; Viridiplantae; Streptophyta; Magnoliopsida; Poales; Poaceae.